GACGAACGCUGGCGGCGUGCUUAACACAUGCAAGUCGAACGGAAAGGCCCUGCUUUUGUGGCGUGCUCGUGUGGCCCACCAUCGAUUCACAACUCAGUAACCUGCCCUUGACUUUGGGAUAACUUCAGGAAACUGGGGCCAAUACCGCACAAGCGCUCCUGCUGCAUGGUUGGGGUUGGAAAGGUUCGGCGGCUGGGGAUGGACUCGCGGCUUAUCAGCUUGUUGGUGGGGUAGUGGCGUACCACGGCUUUGACGGGUAGCCGGCCUGAGCGGGUGACAGGCCACAUUGGGGCCGUGAUCCGGCCGGUACUCCUACGGGAGGCCGCAGUGGCGGAUAGGGCACUAUGGCCGCAAGCCUGAUGCAGUAGGGCCGCGUGGGUGAGGACGGCCUACGGGUGGAAAACCCAUCUGGCCUUGGGUGAAGCUGGUGUGACGGUAAUGGGUAAGGAAGCGCCGGCUAACUACUCC
This 468-nucleotide ribosomal RNA is filed under the name uncultured bacterium. RNAcentral's name for it is "partial 16S ribosomal RNA". It matches the Rfam family "Bacterial small subunit ribosomal RNA", at positions 28 to 507 of the family's 1533-position model. The record is from RNAcentral.